This 68-nucleotide transfer RNA is filed under the name Dipodomys ordii (Ord's kangaroo rat). It matches the Rfam family "tRNA". From Rfam's summary of the family: Transfer RNA (tRNA) molecules are approximately 80 nucleotides in length. Their secondary structure includes four short double-helical elements and three loops (D, anti-codon, and T loops). Further hydrogen bonds mediate the characteristic L-shaped molecular structure. tRNAs have two regions of fundamental functional importance: the anti-codon, which is responsible for specific mRNA codon recognition, and the 3' end, to which the tRNAs corresponding amino acid is attached (by aminoacyl-tRNA synthetases). tRNAs cope with the degeneracy of the genetic code in two manners: having more than one tRNA (with a specific anti-codon) for a particular amino acid; and 'wobble' base-pairing, i.e. permitting non-standard base-pairing at the 3rd anti-codon position. The record is from Rfam by way of RNAcentral. Lineage: Eukaryota; Metazoa; Chordata; Mammalia; Rodentia; Heteromyidae.
GGGAGCAUGUUUCAAGUGGUAGAGCAUUUGCCUAGCAAAUGUCCUGAGUUCAAAUCCCAGUACUUCCU